CAACGGAGAAACAUACAAUAAACUUGUCAAGCAGUUUGUCGAUUCACGCCAUGCUUGGGUUCGUUCGCUCGUUCGUUUGCUUAUUCGUCGGUUCUUAGUUCGGAUGUUCGUUAGUUGUUUAUUAUUAUUCAUUCGAAGGAAGGUGCGGUGGGUAUCGAAACGCUAAGCAAUGUACAUUCACACGCAUAUGCGUGAGAACCUAAUUGGAGGCGCUAUGAUGUGGCGGACGUCACUGCCACUUGGCACAGCGCAAAUACUUGACUGUCUGCCUACGCACGAGCAUGAUUUGAGCGAUUGGUAGGAACUAAACAAACAAAGUCGUAUAGCUAGGAUGGUUAUGGAAUUUAUGGGAAUGUACUAUGUAGAUACUACAAACAUACGUACACCGAAUAGAGCAAACAUGUUCAGUUAAUACGGCAGUGUACGAAAUAACCGUGAAGUUCUGAUAUAGUAAAAUAUUAGGAUGCCAAAUUUUCUGCCUACAUAUUUAUGUAUGAGUAUGCAUGCACAUUCAUAUGCAUCUAUUUUGUAAAUGACAUUUUCUGUAUAAUAUCUCUACUAGAUCAUCCAUAAUUAAAUC
Rhagoletis pomonella (apple maggot) is the source of this 580-nucleotide long non-coding RNA. RefSeq lists it as uncharacterized. The transcript has 3 exons. Lineage: Eukaryota; Metazoa; Arthropoda; Insecta; Diptera; Tephritidae. The record is from RefSeq and is a predicted model, not a curated record.